UCGGGAAUUUUGGGCAAUGGGCGAAAGCCUGACCCAGCAACGCCGCGUGAGGGAUGAAGUAUUUCGGUAUGUAAACCUCGAAAGAAUGGGAAGAAUAAAUGACGGUACCAUUUAUAAGCUCCGGCUAACUACGUGCCAGCAGCCGCGGUAAUACGUAGGGAGCAAGCGUUGUUCGGAUUUACUGGGCGUAAAGGGCGCGUAGGCGGCGCGGUAAGUCACUUGUGAAAUCUCUGAGCUUAACUCAGAACGGCCAAGUGAUACUGCUGUGCUAGAGUGCGGAAGAGGCAACCGGAAUUCUUGGUGUAGCGGUGAAAUGCGUAGAUAUCAAGAGGAACACCUGAGGCGAAGGCGGGUUGCUGGGCCGACACUGACGCUGAUGCGCGAAAGCCAGGGGUGCAAACG
RNAcentral lists this ribosomal RNA (402 nucleotides) under uncultured bacterium. RNAcentral describes it as "bacterial SSU rRNA". It matches the Rfam family "Bacterial small subunit ribosomal RNA", at positions 355 to 774 of the family's 1533-position model. The record is from RNAcentral.